This is a long non-coding RNA of Drosophila ananassae, 816 nucleotides long. RefSeq lists it as uncharacterized. The record is from RefSeq and is a predicted model, not a curated record. Lineage: Eukaryota; Metazoa; Arthropoda; Insecta; Diptera; Drosophilidae. The transcript is spliced from 2 exons.
AAAACAAAAAAGAACAAUCCCCUUACACAAACGAUCUCCAUGGCUCUUCAAUACUUGCAUCAUUAGACCUCCGGUGGGAAAACUGGUGGGAUGAUUGUCCUUGGGAAUCAUUUACUUUCAUUUAUCACGCCAUGCAGUGACAGGAUAUGCGACAGGAUAUGACAUUGCAUAAACCAGUGCGGCGAUCAAAAAUCAAAAACCAAAAACCGCAUCCUGCCGCAGAUCCUGGGCGGCAAACAAAGUGCUUUUGUCUGCGACAAGGCUGCUCCAAAAAAAAAAAAAAUAAAGAGAAGAAUGUAACAAACGUGUCUAAUGCAGGGCAAGAUCAUCAAUGCCCCGGAGGUCCUGUCUGUUCAACAAGAAGAGAAGUAAUCCCAUGUGCAGCUGUCCUGCAGCAAGUCAGCAGGACUUCUGAUGACCGCAAAGUUCGCGCCCAUGUCGCGGCCACUGUAAUCCUUUAACUGUAAUCACGAAACCAAAACAAACAACACCCCGGAUACGGGUUCACGGGGCCAGGACAUCGACCAGAACGGCCAGGACAACAGCCAGGCGGCCAGGCGAUCGACGAGUGACCUCUUUAUUACACGGCGACGCGACAAUCUUGGCGGGGUCGCAAAAGGACAUUCUACCUUCCGGGUGGUUCAGUGGCUUGGAAAAUUCAUGCAACGUUUUUCGAUUUGUUUUAAAAUCCUGAUCCUGAUUCUCAAGUUUCCGAGGGCCGAGUGACCUUCUCUUGCUCCUGCUCCUGUUUUCAUUAUUUUUAUUGCCCUGUGUGUCGGACAAUUGAUUUUGUGACAUAAAUUUGGUGUAAACAGC